This is a small nucleolar RNA of Pygocentrus nattereri (red-bellied piranha), 71 nucleotides long. NCBI's taxonomy places the organism in Eukaryota, Metazoa, Chordata, Actinopteri, Characiformes, Serrasalmidae. The record is from Ensembl.
GAGGGAAGUGAUGUUGUGAUUACCGCCCCAGUCUGAUUUUGAGCUGACUGAUUGGUAUCCUCUGAUCCAUC